RNAcentral lists this long non-coding RNA (1736 nucleotides) under Urocitellus parryii (Arctic ground squirrel). RNAcentral's name for it is "lncRNA (ENSUPAG00010014206.1)". The record is from RNAcentral. Lineage: Eukaryota; Metazoa; Chordata; Mammalia; Rodentia; Sciuridae.
UGACGUUUACCCAACACCUGGGUUCCAUCCACAGCCCUUCUGGGCCAUGCUGGGUUGUGGCCAGGACGGCAGAGCCUGCCCUUGCCCUUCACUGGGUCCUUGUCUCCUUGGGCAGGCCUCCUGUGGGUCUGGGGAGCAAGAGAGUAUCCUGUGACCUGGGCUUUAGUUUCCUGGCCAUGGUGGGAGGACAGGGGCCAGGGAUCAGCUGCAUCACCAGACCUAUUCAUGUGGCAGGGUCACAGGGACAGGAGGAACCCCCCUUCGCCUCACUUCUGGGCUUGGCUCGGAGCCCCCCUUGGCUGGCCUGGCGGAAAGCUGACAUUUCCUGUCCUGAGGGACAAGCUCAGCUGGUGCCCUGAGGAUGACAGCUCUGUGCCCUCCUGCUGGGGUGGCCCUGCUGGGAGCCAUUAAUAAGGUGUCCAGUCCAACACGUCCUCCUCAGAAGCCUCUGGAGUGGUCCCACCGGUCCCUGAAGUCACCCUGGUUCUGUCUUCUCAGUACAUUUUGCCGGUCUUGCUCCACCGCAGGUGUUGGCCCCAGCAUUAGAAUCUGCACAGAGCAGGGACUCCCCCAUGUGAAGGCCGAGUGGGUCCCGCUGCAGCAGGUGGAGAGGUGGGGCGUGCCUGGGCCCAGGCCUGGGCUGUACUCUCAGUUCCCGGGGGUUCAGUUCCAGGGGCCCAGGAAGGUACUAAAGGAGGAACAACAGAGAAACCUUGAUGGGAGGAGCAUCCUUUGAGGUUUCUAAAGCAUACCUUGAGUUCUGAAAGGCAGAGAAACGCAUUUCAGGGUGAGGGGGCUGGCUUGUCCUGAGGCCCUGAGGUGUGGAUGUUCCUGAGAUGUUGGGUGUCACGUCAAGGAAGAGUCCUUCUCUAGCUCUCUGCUCAUCCCCACUGUCCUUUUCUUGUUGAUUCAUAAGAACUCUUUGCAUAUGGGUACAUGAAUCCUUUUUUUUUUAAUCAUGAAAGAUUUAUCAUUUGCCUUUUAUUUUAUUUAUGAUGGGUUUUUGGUAAGCCACACCAUAAACAUUUUUAUUUUGGCAAAACUUCCAGUCUUUUCUUCAGCAGUCUUUCUGGAUCCAGGUUGCCACUUGUCUCUUUGAUCUCGAGUCCCCUGCUCUUCGGUGCACKUGCAGAAAAUAUCUGAGAACUUGAAUUAAGUGGACAUUGGAAAGAUGACAGCUGUGUGAAAAACAGAAGCUCUGAGAUCUUUGCCCACCUGGGUCACAGAUCCCUCUGGGGUUCCUUCCCAUCAUGACUAUCUGCUCACUCCUUCCUGCCGGAAGUGAGGCCCCGAUCUCUGGAGUGGGGCAGGGUCUCGGAUGACUACAGGGAUAGGCUGGGAGAUGGGAAGUCUCCGCAGGGGAAUCACAAUAUACUAACUCAUUGCAGCCUCGUGAGAUGGUGUUAACUUGAUUUAGUCUGAUUUUAUGGGCUAGAAAAUCGGGGUCCAGAGAGGUAAUGGGAUUUACCCAAGGCCACACAGAAAGGAGCAGAGAUAGGACUUGGAUCCAGGACCUGCUGCUGCAGACCUCUCUUAUGGCUCUCGAGCCCCUUGGGAUCAAGUUCAAGCUUGCUAAUAGGAUACCCAGUGCUUCUGGGGGCCUUGGUUUCUUUCUGCUGUCAGCGUGACACCUUGGCCCCCGUGCCUGCACACAGUAGGCAUUCAGGAGUGUUCUCCUUCCCUGUUAGGAUGACAGUGAUGUACCUCUGCCUGUUUCUGUGCACCCUCACUCCAGG